GAGUUUGAUUAUGGCUCAGGAUGAACGCUGGCGGCGUGCCUAACACAUGCAAGUCGAACGGAAAGCUACCGCUUCGGAGACUUCGGUCAAUGUUUGGUAGUUUUUAGUGGCGGACGGGUGAGUAACGCGUGGAUAACCUGCCAUAUACAGGGGGAUAACAGUUAGAAAUGACUGCUAAUACCGCAUAAGCGCACGGAACCGCAUGAUUCUGUGUGAAAAAACUCCGGUGGUAUAUGAUGGAUCCGCGUCUGAUUAGCCAGUUGGCGGGGUAACGGCCCACCAAAGCGACGAUCAGUAGCCGGCCUGAGAGGGUGAACGGCCACAUUGGGACUGAGACACGGCCCAAACUCCUACGGGAGGCAGCAGUGGGGGAUAUUGCACAAUGGGGGAAACCCUGAUGCAGCCGACGCCGCGUGAGCGAAGAAGUAUUUCGGUAUGUAAAGCUCUAUCAGCAGGGAAGAUAAUGACGGUACCUGACUAAGAAGCACCGGCUAAAUACGUGCCAGCAGCCGC
This 513-nucleotide ribosomal RNA is filed under the name uncultured bacterium. RNAcentral describes it as "bacterial SSU rRNA". It matches the Rfam family "Bacterial small subunit ribosomal RNA", at positions 9 to 518 of the family's 1533-position model. The record is from RNAcentral.